UGAAGAAUACAGUAAAAGUGCUAAGGACAACAUGGAGGACAGCAGGGGUAUAGGGGAAGAGGUGUCUGGAAAUAUUUGGGCAAAACCCUGGAGGACUGAGGAUGCCAGCUAGGGUGUCCCGUGGACACUGGGGGAGCCUUUUAAGCCUUCAGAGCACAUGGGUAACAUGUUUCUCUUCCCUCUUAGGAAGUCCCCUCUGGCGGCCUUGCAGAACAGCUUGGAGGGGUAGGAACUGAGCAGGUAGCCCAGCAGGGAGGGAAACCAAUAAUCCAGAGCCUGAAGGAAACCAAGGAGCUCAAAGGCUUUGAGAGAGAUCUUGGAUGUGGCUGGAAGCUAUGGGAAAGGACAAAAGGUGGCUGUGUUGCCGGCAUCCCCUACCACACAUCUGUCACAACAGCAGAUACGGCACUCAGGAAAAGAGAGCCCCAAGGCUGGGGGCCAGCAGGGUGAAAACAUGAAGCACAGAAUUACCCUAUGAUCCAGAAAUUCCACGUCUGGGCAAUAGACCCAAAAGAACUGAAAGCAGAGACCCAAACAGGUACUUGCACACCCCUGUUCACAGCAGCGUUACUCACAAUAACCAACGCAAGCAUCCAUUGAUGCGUAAAGGGAUAAACAAAAUGGGGUAUAUACACACGGUGAAAUGUUACUCCGUCUUAAAAAGGAAUGAGAUUCUGAGACGCGCUACAACAUGGAUGAACCAGGAGGACACUGUGCUGACUGAGCCUAGCCAGUCGUAAGAGGACACAAACCGUAGGAUCCCACUUCUAUGAGCUACCUAGAGGAGUCAAAUUCAUAGGGACAGAAGGAAGAAUGGUGUUGGGGCGUCUGGGUGGCUCAGUUGGUUAAGCAUCCGACUUUGUCUCAGGUCGUGAUCUCACAGUUCACGGGUUCGAGCCCCACGCUGGGCUCUGUGCUGACAGCUUGGAGCCUGGAGCCUGCUUUGGAUUCUGUCUCCUUCUCUCUCUGCCCCUCCCCCAAUCAUGCUCUGACUCUCUCUCUCUC
Molecule: long non-coding RNA, 1005 nt
Organism: Neofelis nebulosa (Clouded leopard)
Lineage: Eukaryota; Metazoa; Chordata; Mammalia; Carnivora; Felidae
Exons: 2
Source: RefSeq, a predicted model, not a curated record